Molecule: ribosomal RNA, 252 nt
Filed under: uncultured bacterium
Lineage: Bacteria
Description: partial 16S ribosomal RNA
Rfam family: Bacterial small subunit ribosomal RNA
Source: RNAcentral
UACGUAGGGUGCAAGCGUUAUCCGGAUUUAUUGGGCGUAAAGGGUGCGUAGGCGGUCUUGUAAGUUAGAUGUGAAAGCUACAGGCUUAACUUGUAGUUGCGUCUAAAACUGCUUGGCUAGAGGAUGCUAGAGGAAAGCGGAACUCAUGGUGUAGCGGUGAAAUGCGUAGAUAUCAUGAGGAACACCAGUGGCGAAGGCGGCCACCUGGACAGUAACUGACUCUGAGGCGCGAAAGUGUGGGUAGCAAACAGG